GAGAAAGACAACAUUACUACCCUUCCAUAACAGACAUAUAUAUAUGCUCCAGUCAGUAACAUUGCUCCAAUGUCAUAAACACGUAAAAAUUUCAAUUAGAGUAAUCCGAAUGUCUGCAACCAUACUCCAAAACAGGAGCAUGUAUGCAUGCUUCACUUAGUAACAAUGAUUUUAAAGUCAUAUAGACCUAAUCUAUUUGUACUUGAAAAAUUGUAUGUCCCACUUAAGCAUUAGAAGUUGUUACUACAUCAUAUAGUACGGCAGUUGCAAAGUUGAUGCCGUCAUCAUAACUCAAGACCCCAAACAAGUAUCAUGGAAGUACAGUUCACCACAACCUUUAUAAUAUCCGAUGACAAAUUUAAUUUACAUACACGCCAACAUUGGAGCAAUGUAGUGAUACAUUAAGAGUCACCAAAAUACCUAGGUUUGCCUAUGUGCUGACUAACAUAUUCCCAACAACCCAACACAAGAUCUAUGCUAUUGCAAAAGCAAUUAGCAUAUGGUACUGUAGGUUGUGUAAGCUAACAGUGUCAUGGUUGCAUCAAAUAUCCUAAAGAAGCAUUAUCUAUUCUUCAAUAAACACUUCAAACUAUCUACUUCUAGAAUAUCCCAG
This 613-nucleotide long non-coding RNA is filed under the name Panax ginseng (ginseng). RNAcentral's name for it is "long non-coding RNA (PGIN_LNC005088)". Lineage: Eukaryota; Viridiplantae; Streptophyta; Magnoliopsida; Apiales; Araliaceae. The record is from RNAcentral.